Molecule: ribosomal RNA, 252 nt
Filed under: uncultured bacterium
Lineage: Bacteria
Description: partial 16S ribosomal RNA
Rfam family: Bacterial small subunit ribosomal RNA
Source: RNAcentral
GACGUAGGAUCCGAGCGUUGUCCGGAGUUACUGGGCGUAAAGCGCGCGCAGGCGGACCGAUACAUCGGCGGUGAAAGCCCCCGGCUCAACGGGGGAGGGGCCGUCGAGAUGGCGGUCUGGAGGCAGGGAGAGGCCAGUGGAAUUCCGGGUGUAGUGGUGAAAUGCGUAGAGAUCCGGAGGAACACCAGUGGCGAAGGCGGCUGGCUGGACCUGACCUGACGCUGAGGCGCGAAGGCGUGGGGAGCGAACGGG